RNAcentral lists this long non-coding RNA (2647 nucleotides) under Homo sapiens (human). RNAcentral's name for it is "HSALNT0382106". The record is from RNAcentral. Lineage: Eukaryota; Metazoa; Chordata; Mammalia; Primates; Hominidae.
GAAUGCAUUUACCUUCACCAAACCUGCUCAAAUCCUUGCUGAACAGGACGUAGCAGGAGUUGACUUUCCAAUGGUGGAGGUUCAGAGUACAGCCUGUAGCCACAGAGAAAAGUUGCUUGUUCCUGAAAUGCAGACACACCUCCAAUCCAGAGAGCAAGUCAUCUCGUGGAGGAAGUGGUAGCUGUAAAAAUUCAAAUGGAAAAGGCAUAGAGACGAAGUCUUGCUUUGUUGCCCAUGCUGGUCUCAAAUUCCUGGGCUCAAGUGAUCCUUCUACUUAGGGAUCCCAAAGAGCUGGGAUCACAGGCGUGAGCCACCGCACCUGACCACACAAAGAGUUUUGAACCAGGAAGGAACCUGGAGAAAUUAUGCAGCAGUGGACAAGGUGCUGUUUAUAAACCAGCCCAGCUUUGGCUCAGGACAAGCCACCCAUCUCCAGGGGCUGGCGUGUGUGCCUCUGCUGACCGCAGCUGCUGACCUGUCUCCUGUACACUCUGGAUGCUGUGAUGCCCAGACAGCAAAACUUCUUUUCAGGCUCCCCAAGAAGGCAGGGACCCCAGUUCUCUCAAGAGCUAACAUUAGAGCAAAUCAGUCUCAAGAGGGAGUCCCAGAAUCAAGAGGAAAUAUGGGCUUGCUCCUUGAUCCUGGAGUAGAGCACAUCUUCCCUGCCUGCAUGGCCAUGCUGUGAAUCUGCAGCUCAGAAGUUGGUCUCCCUAAUGCCACACUCUGGAACCAUGUCAGCCACAUGAUUGUGGCUUCCCGAGGCCACGGCGUGUGCACUCUGCCUGUUCAUGUUGUGUUUUCCUGGUGACUCCUUCCUUUGCUAUUCAGUAAUAAGGCUGAUCUGCCAUAGCAACGCCCACAGCCAAUGGCACCUGCACAGUGCGUUCCUUCUCUACUCCACAAUAUUUCCUUAAAGAAACACACACCUGGAAAUUGAAUUUCUGGAAUGAUUCCCAGAUGCUUUCCAGAGGAAGCCUGGCGACGUGGGCAAAUAGCCCUUUAUUUUCCACCACGGGAACAAAUAUUUCUGAUCUUUCUUUAGUGUUGGGGCUGCAUGCAAUAAAUACUCAGGUGACACUUUUCUGGGUGGCAGUGGUGAGUGAUGGGAAUGAGGCUAAAUAAAUACUUGUCAGUUUGUGUCAUUUCCACCAGCACUGAGAGGGUGACUGUUUCAGUAUCCAAGCGGAAAUUGUGGACUCAGGGCAAAAAGACAGAGAUGAAAAUUCAGUAGUUAUCUUCAGAGGGAAAGAAUUUUAAGCUGUGGGGAUGGAUAAAAUCUCUAUGGAAGGGAAAAAAAGAGAGACAGACAGAUGAAAGGAGAUGGGGCCUUUGAUCAUAUAAUUCAUUGCCCAAACUGGAACAACUUUGAGAGUGAAAGGAGGUCACUAUUAAUAGUGACACUGGGGCCUCAGAUGUAAACUAGGAUUGUCUUGGGCACACAGGGACUUAUGGUUGCCCUAAUGCUAGGGUCAGUCUAUUGAAGGGGCCAAUGAUGAUAGCCUGACCCUUGCCACAGCCCUGACACUUGCCACAUAACAGUAGGGAGUGGUAAUGAGGCAGUCACUCAAUAUAGCUCAGAACAUAAGACCUUCUGGUAGGGUCUUCACUGGGGGUGGGGGAUGGUGCUUCAUGAACUCCUGAAACUUGUCUUCCCUUGGCUGCCAAAGGCCUCCCUCCCUUCUCUCAUCUUCCUCUUUCCAUGGGGAUGAGGGAGGUACCGUGAGGCCGGGACACAGAUGUCCAUGUGCUCUCCAAAUGUCUUGGGGGAGGGGAGAAAACUAUAACUCUUGGAAAUUUGAUAGAAUUGUCAAAAGAAUAUAAUCAGCUACAUACAUUGUUUAACCAAAGUUGUAGUUCUAUGAUAAAAGAUAAAAAUUUUCUUUUAUGAGAAUAAAAUACCUAGGAAUCCAACUUACAAGGGAUGUGAAGGACCUCUUCAAGGAGAACUACAAACCACUGCUCAAGGAAAUAAAAGAGGAUACAAACAAAUGGAAGAACAUUCCAUGCUCAUGGGUAGAAAGAAUCAAUAUUGUGAAAAUGGCCAUACUGCUCAAGGUAAUUUAUAGAUUCAAUGCCAUCCCCAUCAAGCUACCAAUGACUUUCUUCACAGAAUUGGAAAAAACUACUUUAAAGUUCAUAUGGAACCAAAAAAGAGCCCACAUCGCCAAGUCAAUCCUAAGCCAGAAGAACAAAGCUGGAGGCAUCACACUACCUGACUUCAAACUAUACUACAAGGCUACAGUCACCAAAACAGCAUGGUACUGGUACCAAAACAGAGAUAUAGAUCAAUGGAACAGAACAGAGCCCUCAGAAAUAAUGCCGCAUAUCUACAACUAUCUGAUCUUUGACAAACCUGAGAAAAACAAGCAAUGGGGAAAGGAUUCCCUAUUUAAUAAAUGGUGCUGGGAAAACUGGCUAGCCAUAUGUAGAAAGCUGAAACUGGAUCCCUUCCUUACACCUUAUACAAAAAUCAAUUCAAGAUGGAUUAAGGACUUAAACGUUAGACCUAACAUCAUAAAAACCCUAGAAGAAAACCUAGGCAUUACCAUUCAGGACAUAGGCAUGGGCAAGGACUUCAUGUCUAAAACACCAAAAGCAAUGGCAACAAAAGCCAAAAUUGACAAAUGGGAUCUAAUUAAACUAAAGA